AUGCAAGUGUACAACAACUUUCUAAGGAGGCAUCAGGGCAAAGCACAGGCUGGCCGUUCCCUAGAGGAUGGGGAGCCCAGGGGGAUAACAGGGCUGGCAGUGGCUCCACCAGCACCCACCCCAAAGUACCCAAGAGGGGGUGACUCAGAGACAGUGGACAGCUUUAACCAGGAGUCCAGAUCAUUAGAGAAGCCUAUGAUGUUCAGGCAGGUCAGAGGUCAUGCUACAAAGUCAAACUGGAGGUCAGGAUCAGGUCCAUUGGUGGUGAAGCAGGACCAUGGCGGCAAGACAGGUCUAAAACCAAGUUGGGAAGUCAGCAUGAAGGGAGAGGUAGAAAAAGGAAGAAAAGACACUGGAAGAAAUAAUCUAUCUGCUAGAAGAGAUGAAGAAGCAGAAACCAGUUGCAAAAUAGCUGCCUUAAGCAAAUCUCUUCUGUAUAUGUUACUGGAUUUAAAGGACCAGUCAAAAAAGAUAUUCACCAUGGGGGAUAACAGAAUAAAUCUGUUGACUUCCUUGAUCUACUAACUUCUGCAGGCAUGCAAAUUGAGAUUCUGCCUGCUGUUACUCCUUUCUCUAGUUUCUGGUGUUCCUUAAGAAGCAAAGUUCAGAACUCUGAAGCUUAGAAAGGAGGCAAUGUCAGCAGCUUCUGUGAGACAGUAUAAUCUUUCAGGAAAGAAACGUUCACACUUCUUCCAAAGAUUGCUGAAAAUGUCUUUGUUCAGUUCCCUGUUUUUCCUAGUGUGGUAGAAAACUUUAAUGGGUUGAUGGGAUGAGAAUCGAAGCAGGACAUUUUAUUUCUAUUCCCAAUUCUCUUUGGCUUUUGUUUGUUUAUAAGUAUGUGCUUUCUGUUGCCUUUUAUUUUAUUUUUUAAUCAAAUAAACAUUGCAGAAUGCUAAUACUUGAGAAAAAU
Molecule: long non-coding RNA, 910 nt
Filed under: Anas platyrhynchos platyrhynchos (common mallard)
Lineage: Eukaryota; Metazoa; Chordata; Aves; Anseriformes; Anatidae
Description: lncRNA (ENSAPLG00000019800.1)
Source: RNAcentral